UACGGAGGGUGCAAACGUUGCUCGGAAUUAUUGGGCGUAAAGCGCACGUAGGCGGAUUGUUAAGUCGGAUGUGAAAGCCCUUGGCUUAACCAAGGAAGUGCAUUCGAAACUGGCAGUCUUGAGUACGGGAGAGGGUCGCGGAAUUCCCGGUGUAGAGGUGAAAUUCGUAGAUAUCGGGAGGAACACCAGUGGCGAAGGCGGCGACCUGGACCGAUACUGACGCUCAGGUGCGAAAGCGUGGGGAGCAAACAGG
RNAcentral lists this ribosomal RNA (253 nucleotides) under uncultured bacterium. RNAcentral describes it as "partial 16S ribosomal RNA". It matches the Rfam family "Bacterial small subunit ribosomal RNA", at positions 524 to 776 of the family's 1533-position model. The record is from RNAcentral.